GAUGAACGCUGGCGGCGUGCCUAAUACAUGCAAGUCGAGCGAACAGACGAGGAGCUUGCUCCUCUGACGUUAGCGGCGGACGGGUGAGUAACACGUGGAUAACCUACCUAUAAGACUGGGAUAACUUCGGGAAACCGGAGCUAAUACCGGAUAAUAUAUUGAACCGCAUGGUUCAAUAGUGAAAGACGGUUUUGCUGUCACUUAUAGAUGGAUCCGCGCCGCAUUAGCUAGUUGGUAAGGUAACGGCUUACCAAGGCGACGGUGCGUAGCCGACCUGAGAGGGUGGAUCGGCAACAUGGGAAUGGAGAAAGGUCCCGACCUCGAAGGGGAGCAACAGUAGGGAAUCCUCCGCAAAGGGGGGAAGGCUUAAGGUGCAAAGGCGGCGGAAUGAUGAAGGUGUUAGGAUCGGAAAACCCUGUUAAUAGGGAAAAACAAAUGUUGUAGUAACUAUGCACGUAUUGACGGUACCUAAUUAGGAAGGCACGGCUAACCUCGUG
RNAcentral lists this ribosomal RNA (497 nucleotides) under uncultured bacterium. Its description in RNAcentral is "partial 16S ribosomal RNA". It matches the Rfam family "Bacterial small subunit ribosomal RNA", at positions 28 to 507 of the family's 1533-position model. The record is from RNAcentral.